This 620-nucleotide ribosomal RNA is filed under the name uncultured Arthrobacter sp. Its description in RNAcentral is "bacterial SSU rRNA". It matches the Rfam family "Bacterial small subunit ribosomal RNA", at positions 443 to 1072 of the family's 1533-position model. The record is from RNAcentral. Lineage: Bacteria; Bacillati; Actinomycetota; Actinomycetes; Micrococcales; Micrococcaceae.
GGAAGAAGCCGCAAGGUGACGGUACCUGCAGAAGAAGCGCCGGCUAACUACGUGCCAGCAGCCGCGGUAAUACGUAGGGCGCAAGCGUUAUCCGGAAUUAUUGGGCGUAAAGAGCUCGUAGGCGGUUUGUCGCGUCUGCCGUGAAAGUCCGGGGCUUAACUCCGGAUCUGCGGUGGGUACGGGCAGACUAGAGUGAUGUAGGGGAGACUGGAAUUCCUGGUGUAGCGGUGAAAUGCGCAGAUAUCAGGAGGAACACCGAUGGCGAAGGCAGGUCUCUGGGCAUUAACUGACGCUGAGGAGCGAAAGCAUGGGGAGCGAACAGGAUUAGAUACCCUGGUAGUCCAUGCCGUAAACGUUGGGCACUAGGUGUGGGGGACAUUCCACGUUUUCCGCGCCGUAGCUAACGCAUUAAGUGCCCCGCCUGGGGAGUACGGCCGCAAGGCUAAAACUCAAAGGAAUUGACGGGGGCCCGCACAAGCGGCGGAGCAUGCGGAUUAAUUCGAUGCAACGCGAAGAACCUUACCAAGGCUUGACAUGAACCGGUAACGCCUGGAAACAGGUGCCCCGCUUGCGGUCGGUUUACAGGUGGUGCAUGGUUGUCGUCAGCUCGUGUCGUGAGA